AGAAAGUGAAGAGCAGCAAGCCUAAGUGCCUGUGCGUUCUCAUCAAAGAGAGCACUGAUCCCUCUCUGGGCCUCCCUGUCAACACCACUUUGGCACUUCAAAUGCCUUCCGCCUGCAACAUCGAUGCCAAAGUCUCUGAUUGCCCAAGUAAUUUCUCCUAUCCCAAAAUCUUUGAAUAAGUAUUGCUUGUCUUUGAAGUUUGAAUUAACACACCAGAUGUAUUAUUAUGUCUUGUUGGUCUGUGUUGUUCACAGCUUUACUGAGCCUUCCACCAGAUUCAGCAGACGCGAAGAUCUUUAAAGAAGCAGAUUCAAGUGCAGAGUCCUCCACAGAUUCCCCACCAGCUUCAACUUCAACUUCAUCUUCCUCCUCUGGGUCCAGUUCAAGUGCGGACUCAAAGGCAACUCCAACGAGCAAUGGUGGAGGAAAGUUGAAGUCGUUUGGGAGUGGAAGCUUGCUGAUGAUAAUGGCUUCAAUUGCAUGGAUGUUCAUCUCAACUGCCAAUUGAUCCUUCAUGGCUCACCUGAGGAGGCAAAGUUAGGAGUUUGGAGAGGGAACACUAGUAGUAGGUAAUUGAUUCGGGGUUUUCCAGUUUGUUCCCUUUCUACUUUCAUAAGAUAAUAAAAUAAGAACAGUUGAUCGGUUGAUCUGUCCUGUGAUGAUCUUUGUGAUGGAAUGAGAAGAUUAUAUAAUGCAAUCUAAUUGGUGAAUCAAUGCUUAAUUACUAAAAAGUUUUACUCUUAAAUUACAAGAACUAAAAAUGUAGAAUAUUUACAUAAUCACGUAAAUUAAUCGUACAUGAUUAAAUGAUACUAACAAUAGAAAAUCACUAUAAAGAAUAUAUCAAUUUGAGUCAUCACAAAAAAAAUAAGUGAUUGAUUGUUGCAACCAAGUCUUCCUAUCUAUGAUCUUGAUAACAACUAUGGUGACUUUAUGAGAAAAUAAAAAUACCCUUUAUCUAAAUUAGGGAGGGGACUUAGCAUAAUUCAAUAUUAGGUUCUCAUUGGGCCCUCCCAUAAUGGGCUUCAAUGAGACCCAUAGUCUACACUUACCACUCAACUGAACUUCUACUCAAAAGAUGCAAAACACAAUCCAAAUAUGACCACUAGUUAAUUGAGCUAAUUAUAUAAUAGACUAUCCAUUAACCCUUUUUUUUUUCCAAAUACAAAUUAUUUAAUUAAUGUUAGCCCAUAUAAAAAUUAUCAAUAAAAAAUUGAAAAGUGUAUGAUUAAUUAAUUUUUUGAAUAUAAUUAUGUAUUAUUUUACAAGCAAUAAAGAUAUUUCUAGGAAUUUUGCAUUGUCAUUAAACACUUUAUUCUUCACAAUUUCUAGAAAUUUUGUAUUACUUAGAACUAAUGUUUUCAAAAUCGGACCAGUCAUUAAACAAAAAAAGUUACUUGUUCAUGAUUCAUUUGUCGAAUCGGCGAUUGAACCGCGAUCAAAUCGAUGACAUCAUAGAUAUAUAUUUUAUAUAUUAUUAAAAUUAAUAAAUAAUUUACUUUUAAAUCAAAUAUUUAUUUAAAAUUUAAAAAUUAGAAUUUCAUUUGAAAAUCAACAAAAAUUUCAAUAAAUUAAAAUAUCAAUGUGCAAUAAAUAAACAAAAAAUGAAAGAAAAAAAAUCAUAAAUAUUAAAAUAUUAAACAUGACAUUAAAUUUAUAAUAAAAAAAUUAAGACAUUAAAUAUAAAACAUAAAAAUUAAAUUUAAAAAAAUAAAAUAAAAAUGGAAGUUUAAUCUGCAAGUGAAAGAGUUGGGGGAGGGAGGAAAGAGUAUUUUGCUGUGUGGACAAGGCAAGCGCAGGCGUUGACAACUGCUACUGGAGCUAGGGUGCUGUGAGGGUGAGUUGGUUGGAGGCAACGGGUAAAAAAGAUAUUUUAAUAGUCAUCAAAACGAUGUCAUUUUGAUGCUUAAAAAAAAAUAAAAAAAAUUGGUUGAACCGUUCGGUUCAAAGAGAACUAGCCGAUUCAUCCGAUUCAUCAGUUGAACUGUCAGUUCAAUCGGUCUGAUUCCAGUUCGACCAUAAUCCGGUCUAUUUCACUUGAUCGAAUCAGAACUGUGACUAGUUGAAACCAUGUUAGUGAGCAUAACAAUAAAAAGGCUUGCAUUUUGAUAUCAAGUGCAAUUUUCAUGGUAGUUAACUGAUUUAUUAUGCUUUGAAACACAUUCAAGUAAUCAGCUACCAAAUUUCCUUUUUUUAACUUCAUGUUCACUAACUUCUUUAGCAAAAACUUUCUUACCAACGAUCUGUUUAAAUAUUGACUUCAACUUCUAAGAGAGAUAAUGGCAUACACUAGUUUCAUUUGCCACAUGGUAAGAAGUUGUACUAGUUUAUUACAAGCAGUUGCCUUCUUUAAUCCUGUUCAUCUUCUUCUAUUCACGGCUUAAAGUAUAUAUCCUUAAGUCUACCUUCUUUAUAUUCAAGAGUGUCUAAUAGAUCUUUGAUCGUGAGAAAAUCUUUUAUGAUAGACUUUCAUAUAGGUUAAUUCAGAUUAUUAAUUAAGUUCUAUCAUUAACAUAGAGGUAGCUUCAAUUCAUUUCCAUUACUAUAAAAAUAUACCCUUGUUUCAACAAAAUUAAUCCCCUUAUCAUUACUCCAAAGCAAACAUAUUGUUGAUAUGUCGGUAUGCUAGAGCAAAUUAGAGUCCCUUUAACAGUUAUUUUAGGAAGUGUUUUUAAACUUUUUAACACUAUAAAUUUUUUAUUAAAAGAGUUAUUUUUUAAGUGUCAAAAAGAUUAAAAAUAAUUAUUAUAAUCACUAUAAAACGAGCUCCUAAUGAUCAAGGGUUUUGAUUCAAUCAUGUCAAUUAAAAGAACUUAUCACUAUCCCUAAAUGCCCAAAUUCUUCAAGACAAAAGUAGUGUGAACGCUCCCAAAUCCUCGUACCAGUGAUUGUGUGUGCAUGUUGGGCACUUGGCAUGUUGUGUUCUUUUUCAUGCAAACAUGUAGAAUUUUUUAAUUAAUUUCCUUAAUGUACACCAAGACCAAGAAAACAAGAAAAUUAAACUAAGAAAGACUAAAUCGGACAGGGUAACGGAUUGGUUUGCAACUGAUUCACUCAAGUUAAGUCAAAUGGAGGUUGGAAUAAUGUAGGUUGACUAAAUCGGCUUGCUUCAUAUGGUUUUUAAUAAAUUUCAUAUGAGAUUUUAGACUUAGAUGAUGAGAAAAUUUUAAAAUAAUACAAAUGUUACUCCCAUAAAUUUCAUAUUAAUAAUUACAAUAAAUAAUAAUGGCCAAAAUAAUUUUAAUAUUAAUGAUUAUAAUGAAUAAUAUAUAGUGGGUGAAUUUAUUUUAUAUUAGUAAUUGCAAUAAUAAUAAGAUGUUACAAUUUCAAAAUAACUUAAUAAGUAAAUUUUUUUAACCUUAUUAUUAUCAACUAAUAAAAAUGGAAUAGAAGUAAAAUAAAAUAAGAAAAAUUUAGGGAGUCAUUAAAACCAUUUAUUUUUGUUAUUUAAUAAAUCACAAUAAAUAUAAUAGGAAAAUUAUUAAAAGAAAAAAGUCAUUAAAAUCAUUCAUCUUCAUUACUCUGUUAGUCACAAUAGACCAUAUCAAUUUAAUAGAUAUCUCGCAUUUUUCUUUAGAACCCACCAACAUACAAAAUCAAUUUUCCAUAUAAAAUAAUAGAUAAUUAAAAAAAUGAUAUACAUCCAAAGAAAAAUAAAUAAAUAGGAUAAGUGCCAAUUUAAUCUAUCAAUAGUUAGAAUAAGAAUAAAAGUUAAAUGAGUUUGUGAUAUUAAAUAAGUGGAUGUUACACAAAUAGUAAUGAAGACUAAAUCGAAUGGUUUUAUGGUAUUAAAUAAAUGGAUGUUACACAUAAAAAUUUGAUAUUAAUAAUUGUAAUAAAUAAUAAGAGGAAGUGAUGUUAGAAUGAUAAAAAUAAUUUAGAAACUUAUAAAAUUAAGGAAAGAGAAAAACAAAUGAUAUAAUAGGGGUAUUUUAGGAAGGAAAAAAGUGUAAAACAUCUUGUAUUAUUAUAGAUAGAUAAUGACAUGAAUAAGAAAAUGUGAAAAGUGGGUUUUAACUCACUAAUAUGAAAAUAUUUGCAAAAAAAUAACCUCAAAUUUUUUCAAUCAGUAUUAUCUUUAUUUAUUUAAAAAUAAUUUGAAAUACAUGUAAUUUUUAAUAAAUUUGUCAUGUUAUUUUACGUAAAUGUUUCCCUUCCUUUUAGAUAAAUUAUAAAUUUUAUUUCCAACAAAACUCAAACUUAUCUACGGUCUAUCAGGGUUUCACUACUUCUAACAUCCAUACUCUUCAAACUAUCUUACUUUUACUGUAAGAUGUUUGUUUAUAAAGAGAAAAAAAAAAUCUAACUUUUCUCACGGGUAUUUGCUUUUAAAGAAAAAAAAUCCCAAAUAAUAAUAAUAAUAAUAAUAAUAAUAUCUAAAAAAAAGAAAAAUAUUUAUGUGGAAGACUCUUGUUGUUAACUGAUGUUGAUAAUAUAACAAGUAAAAAGAGCAAUUUAGGGAAUAAUUAAAUGAAUCAUUUAAAAGUACAUAUAUUUAGAAUUAUUUUUAAAUAGAUGAUGAUAAUACAUUUAAAAAAUUUGAGAUUUUUUUUCAUAUAUUUUUACAAUAGCAAGUCAGCACCCACUUUUUCAGAAAAUUUUAAAAUUCUAAUUUAAGGAACUAACAAUAAAAAAUAUUUUGUUUUAGAUGAGUUCAAUUUCAACCUUACAAAUAAUAAAAAUACUUCUGUGGACCCCGCAUUUCGAUUGCUAGAUGCGUUUCCCACUCGAAUGGCGAGCUCGAUUUUUAUUUGAAAAGUUGAUUUUUAUUGAUUAUUUGAAAAUGACUUGGAGUCGCCACUUAUUUUUGUUUUAUUUUUAAAGGGUAAACAAAAUAAGAAAGAAAAACCCUAAGUGUGACUCCUUAUUUUGGAAAAGGCGGUCUAUGAAAAACCGGAUCGGGUUCGGGGGUCAGGUUACUUAUCGGGAAGGUACGGUAAAGACCGUAGCACCCCUUUAAGUCCCUAAAGUCGAGUCUCUACUAAUAAAAUGAAGUAAUCGUGGCAAUCAAUAAGAACAUCAAUGAAUACUCAAAUCGAAUCAUGCACAUAUGAGAAACAGAAUAUGUAUAGAAAAUAACCAGAAUAUGAGUGGAUGCGUACCUGGGUAGCAAACGGCAACGCGUUAUCAUGGAACAGGGUUAGUGAAUUAACACAGAAUGAUCAUAUGAUAUAGCAUACAUGUCACUAAACUAAAUACAAAAUCACCAAUAGCACAUGUGUCAUUUCACUCAAUUUUAUUUUAAAGAAAAUUUAUUUGAUGUUGGGCCCCCACCAAAACCCGUUUAUUUUGCAUGAACCAAAUUCGUAAAUUCCAUCAUUAGGAAUUACAAAAUUUGAUUCUUGCUUAUUUUAAAACAUUUUAAAAAAACAAAAGAGAUGUGAAAAUGGUUUGCCAAGAAGAAGAGUGGCAGCAAAAUUUUAUUGGAAAAAUGGAUUUUUGGAACCUAAGAAAAAAACUAAGGAUGAAAAAUGGAUGAGUUUGAAUUAUUUGAAAAUCGACAUUAAAAAAUUAUUUGCAAGAAAGGUGUCAGGAAAUUAUUUUUUAAACCAAAAGAUUGAGGGAAUGGGAGGUGACACGUGGCCCAAAAGGUAGCCAUGCAGCUGGGUGUACGUAUGACUGGUCACCAGGUCAGUCAAUGGCUUUGUGAGACUCUACUGAACAUUGGGAUCCCAUCCUUCAUGGCCUUCAAGAUCAUCACUGCCUUCACCAUCAAUACCAGUCAUCCUCUAUCUGCCAUGUGUACAAUUCCCACCUCUGCUGAAAUCUCAGAUCUUCACUCAUGUUAGUACUUGGGUAAUCACAACUGUGUAACUAUGUGCUCAAUCCCCGGGAGAGUCCGACCAUAAAUGACUAGACCCACUUAUCAUCAGAGUUUCAGCUGCUUGUUUGGAGAAUGAGAUCAGUUUGAUAGAAGGGUUUCCACUGCAACUGCACCUUGAACUUGUUUGAAAGAUUGUACCAUGAUUCUAGCAUUCAUUGCUUCGUCUAUUCUCGGAUCUUUUGGCAAAACUGGAGCUUUUGGGAUAAUAUCAAUCCAAACCGAAACAAAACCAGCAACAGUACAAUAUAAGGAAUGCUUUCCCUUCUUUUCUGCUAGGAAGCCUUUGUACACAGCCAAAUUUACCUUUGCCCAAAAGAUUCUGUGAUUAAAACCCAUCUAUAGCCUCUGCAAGUUCUUCAUAUUGGAACCGUAUUCUCGAAUUGCUGUCCACUAAGAUAUUUUCUUCUAGUUGAGUGGAGACUACCAGGUAUGGAGGGUGUCCAGGCUAGGAACCAGUCAAAACUAACCACAUAUACACCAAGGUGGCCAGGCACUGUGAACGCCAAGCACGUGGGAGAUGGAACUAAAGGGUAAAUGAUGAAUGAUGGGCGGUAAAGGUGAUAAGUGGGAUGGUGGUACAAUGUAGGGAUAUAACGGGUAUGAGGGGUAUGGCAAUAUAUAUGUAGGAGUUGGUGAUAUGCAGGGGUAUGGAAGGGUAGUGGACAUGAGGAUAGGAAUUGUGAAAGUGAGAGGAAGAUGUCGGCAUGAAACGGGUAAUGGAAAGGGUUAAAUGGGUUUAGAAAGAAGUGGUGGCAUGCAUGGGCAUGGAAAUGGGUAUAUGCAUGGGUAUGAUAGCAAUGGGUGGGGACAUGAUGACGAACUGUAGGCAUGAUAUGGUAAUGGGAGUGUGAAGGAUAGCCUUGGAUGCAUGCAUAAUAAUCACGUACACAUGGGACCCAUGAGCAGGUAAGAAUUUUGGAUUUUAAUGGAGACUUUUGAGGGAACUUAGGGUGACGUGUUGCUCUUUAUAUUCUUUAACAUUUCUAAGGCCUUGUCAGUCAACCCAACUUUCAGAUACCCACUCGCUGUAGCUGAAUACAUAUUCUAAUCAACAGAAAUAUGGGGAUUCUCCCCCAUCCGAUUCAAGAACCCUUCCAUUGCAGAAAUAUCAGAUGCCACAACAUAAGCAAACACGUGAUUCCUUACUGUGAAUGCAUCACAUGGAAUUGCUUUCCUUUGCAUUUCUUGAAUCAAUGCCUCAGUCUUGCCAUGAUUUCCAGUUUGAGAGUAAACGUGGAUCAACAUAUUGUAAGGAAAAGAUGAUAUUGCAAAGUUCAUCUUUCUCAUUUUCUGCAUAGUGGCUUCUGCUUUCUACACAGAUUUCUCUUACACACAGCCACUGAGAAGAGCACCAUACGCACUGGAAGUCUCUGCCUACCCUUGUCCAUGAAUCAUGAGGAUCAAGUCCAAUCUGAUUGCUGCCUCACUCGGAGUUGAUGUGCAAUACCGACAGUCAGUCAUACAUGGAGAUAUCUCUUGGGCAUGAUGGAAGCGUCUGAACUCUUUCAUGAUCCGAACAAGUGAUUGGAGUUGGGGUUUGCUAACUAUUUACCCUUCUUCUGUGCAUUGAUUGAGGAGUGGUGAAAUCGAAGCCUUAGGGUAAAAAAAUUAAACGAUAUCCUUGCCCUUGGGAAAUUGUCACUCCUCCAACAACACAAACGCGACAAAAUCAUGGAUCUGAUCCCCAGAAUACGUCCUCUACCACCAUGGACAACUUGAGAAUCCAGACAUAUUAAAGCCAAUACCCUCUUCUUCACACAUAAGGAGCAACCUCCUCAUGAUCAAAUACUAGGAACAGAGGAGGGUUGCAAAACAGAGCACAGAGCAAGAACAAAAAAGACUCAUGAAAGCUGCGUUUCAUAUUUCACUUAACGAGCUUAUGACGCAGAGGUGGAUAAAAAAAACAAAAUGGGAUUUCAAAUAGUUUGCAAAGAGAUCGAAAUUAAAACAAGAUGACCGACAACUCAUAAAACAGAGUCCAGAAGACAAGUUAGAAACCAAAUGCAGGAUGAGGGUGAGCGAACACAAAUAUUGAAAGAAAAUAGGUAGGAUUCUCACCUGCUUGCAUAGAUAUGUCAAGAUAGAAACUCAUGAUAACCAGUAAACAUAAUAAAAUGCCAUGAACACAAAAGAAACCUCAGAUUACAUGAAUAAUACCUGUAUCACCCUCUUCCAAGGCUAUUCCUCCGUGUCUUUCUUCAAACAGCUUUCAUGAACUCUCUCUAACCAGCUGAAAAUAUCCCUCCACUGCUCAUUUACCCUCUCAAAGAUCCCUGCUCCAGACUAUGGAUCCUUCCUUACCCUCAGACUCUUUUUUUCUCAAAAAUAUCUCUCAAACCAACCUCAAAACCACCCUCCAGCUCCAGAAAUAUGCUCUGUCUCUUCUUCUCGCUUGCCUCCCUCGCUUCUCAAGCUAAACUAUCCUCCUCUCCAGCUCCAGGAACCUCCCCCCUUCCCCAAAGCUCUCUGCCCCUCUCCCAAAUAUCUCUAACGGCCUGCCCAGAGCUCCUGCCAACAGCCCAGGUACCUCCCCUCCAC
This 8362-nucleotide long non-coding RNA is filed under the name Vitis vinifera (wine grape). RNAcentral describes it as "long non-coding RNA (VVIN_LNC003412)". The record is from RNAcentral. Lineage: Eukaryota; Viridiplantae; Streptophyta; Magnoliopsida; Vitales; Vitaceae.